RNAcentral lists this ribosomal RNA (206 nucleotides) under uncultured bacterium. RNAcentral describes it as "partial 16S ribosomal RNA". It matches the Rfam family "Bacterial small subunit ribosomal RNA", at positions 568 to 774 of the family's 1533-position model. The record is from RNAcentral.
UGCGUAGGUGGUUUCUUAAGUCAGAGGUGAAAGGCUACGGCUCAACCGUAGUAAGCCUUUGAAACUGGGAAACUUGAGUGCAGGAGAGGAGAGUGGAAUUCCUAGUGUAGCGGUGAAAUGCGUAGAUAUUAGGAGGAACACCAGUGGCGAAGGCGGCUUACUGGACGAUGACUGACGCUGAGGCUCGAAAGCGUGGGGAGCAAACA